UCCGGUGACCAUAGCGGAGAGGAUACACCCGUUCCCAUCCCGAACACGGUAGUUAAGCUCUCCUGCGCCGAUGGUACUUGGGGGUACCCUGGGAGAGUAGGCCGUCGCCGGAG
This 113-nucleotide ribosomal RNA is filed under the name Bacillota bacterium. Lineage: Bacteria; Bacillati; Bacillota. The record is from RNAcentral.